AUUUGGAAUGGCAAUAGGAAACAAAGCUAUAGAUUAUUGAACAUGUUUAUGACGAUAUGUGCCUUCCAUACAUGGACAUGACAUCUGUUUAUAGAUAAAACUACAGCAGUGGUGUCCAAAAGCAAGUCUAGUGACAUAUUUUAACACAGAAACACAACUGCUACGCCUUGAAAGGAACGAAAGCUAGACGUCUUAGUCAUCUGAAUCAUCAUCAUCAACAACGCCAGCUCCGGCUCCAAGUAGUGUAGUCAGGAUCAUUUGCUCCCAUCCCCUUAAGCUUGCCCUGAACCUGUGAAACCGAGGAGGACUACUUGACUCUCCUUUAGUAGAUUUGUUACUUGACUCGCACAACAACCUUUCUUUUGGGCAGUACUUCAGACUGCACUUCCCGGAUUCAUCGAGUAUCUCAACAUCAAAUGUUGACAAGAGUGGCCUUCCAACAACUUGGACAUGCGACACACAUAUAUAAUAUAGACCAUCCAAUUGUUGUUUCUGAACUCUGCCUAAGAGCUCGACUUGUAGGAUCCCGCCAAUGCAAAGAACAGGUUCUGGCAGCUUAAACUUCUGCAAGAUGUUGUCCUGAACCAAGGGAAAUUCUGGUGAGGUAUAUGUCCAUACAACCUUGUCAGAGAAAGAUCGGGCUUGACCAGCCACAGAUUCUUGUCCAUUGUCACUUUCUACGUCUAUUUUAACAUUAGGAUGUCCCACCCGGAAUCUCACAGCUUUUGCUGAAUAAAUGGGAAAGCCAAACUGGAAAUAUGCUUGAAAUGGCUGUACAUGAAUUUCUGAAAUCAGGCACAGCUUUGAGAUUAAUUUAUAUGUUAGUGUCUCGGGAACUGUAGGAUCACUUUGCCCUCCACUUGACCAGUAUGAAGCUCUGCGCUCAACACGAUCGCCUGGUUUUAAUGUAUUCAGAAUGCUUUCUUCAGGAUAGUUGUCAGUGCUUGAUGCAUGAAUUGCAUCUAUUAAGCAGUCUUCCGUCAUACAGUUGGAAAGGCCGCGUGACAAAA
This 1010-nucleotide unclassified non-coding RNA is filed under the name Hevea brasiliensis (rubber tree). The record is from RNAcentral. Lineage: Eukaryota; Viridiplantae; Streptophyta; Magnoliopsida; Malpighiales; Euphorbiaceae.